GAGGAGGUGGCUGAGUGGUUAAGGUGCUGGACUGCUAAUUCAUUGCUGAUUCACAGGUGGGCUCAAAUCCCACUUCGUCG
This 80-nucleotide transfer RNA is filed under the name Danio rerio (zebrafish). It matches the Rfam family "tRNA". Rfam says of the family: Transfer RNA (tRNA) molecules are approximately 80 nucleotides in length. The record is from Rfam by way of RNAcentral. Lineage: Eukaryota; Metazoa; Chordata; Actinopteri; Cypriniformes; Danionidae.